RNAcentral lists this ribosomal RNA (497 nucleotides) under uncultured bacterium. RNAcentral's name for it is "partial 16S ribosomal RNA". It matches the Rfam family "Bacterial small subunit ribosomal RNA", at positions 28 to 507 of the family's 1533-position model. The record is from RNAcentral.
GACGAACGCUGGCGGCGUGCCUAAUACAUGCAAGUAGAACGCUGAAGAGAGGAGCUUACUCUUCUUGGAUGAGUUGCGAACGGGUGAGUAACGCGUAGGUAACCUGCCUUGUAGCGGGGGAUAACUAUUGGAUACGAUAGCUAAUACCGCAUAACAAUGGAUGACACAUGUCAUUUAUUUGAAAGGGGCAAUUGCUCCACUACAAGAUGGACCUGCGUUGUAUUAGCUAGUAGGUGAGGUAAUGGCUCACCUAGGCGACGAUACAUAGCCGACCUGAGAGGGUGAUCGGCCACACUGGGACUGAGACACGGCCCAGACUCCUACGGGAGGCAGCAGUAGGGAAUCUUCGGCAAUGGGGGCAACCCUGACCGAGCAACGCCGCGUGAGUGAAGAAGGUUUUCGGAUCGUAAAGCUCUGUUGUAAGUCAAGAACGGGUGUGAGAGUGGAAAGUUCACACUGUGACGGUAGCUUACCAGAAAGGGACGGCUAACUACGUG